UUAUAACCUGGUGGGGGA
RNAcentral lists this ribosomal RNA (18 nucleotides) under Hoplolaimus stephanus. Its description in RNAcentral is "partial 18S ribosomal RNA". The record is from RNAcentral. Lineage: Eukaryota; Metazoa; Nematoda; Chromadorea; Rhabditida; Hoplolaimidae.